AUGCAGAGGAUAGAGGAAAAAUCCUCUGCCCCUGUCGGGGAUCGAACCCCGGUCGUCCAGCCCGUAGCUAGUCACUAUGCUGACUGAGCUAUCCCGGCUCAUAAAUAUUUUAUGUUACAGAAUGUUAUUACCAUAAUUAGGGUCUUUUAUUACAGAUUCUUUGUUGAAUGUGUCCACUAUAAUUCUUUCAGUUGGCUGCAAAGCAAUCAUUUCAUAUGCUAGUCUCUUAGGCAAGUGAGAGCUUGGUGUGAGUCGCUGAAGGACAUUUCUCACCCUAUUCACGAGGUAAAUCUAAUUCAUUCUUUGUAUUUGUUCGAGACUCUCGUGGGCAAGGAGGGAUGUGUGUGCUACAUCAUUCACAGGCAAAACGAUGUUCUGACUGAAGAAGACUGAGUCACUCACGGCUGUCAUGAAUGGCCCAUCUCUAGUGCACUAGCAAUAAAAUUGUCUUCUAUGACAUUUGGUAGGACUCCUUGGACAAGUAAUCAGCCUGUCACAAGGCCUCUACCUAUACAGGACAGCACAAGACAGAAAGACACGGACAAACAUCCAUGCCUUGAUUGGGAUUUGAACCCAUGGUCCCAGUGUCCGAGCAGUCGAGGCCCACACUUCAGACCAUGCACCAUUCAGCCACUGUAACCAGCUAUUAGACUUUUGCAGAAUCAUAAAUAAAUAUAGAGAAGGGCUACCAAUUCUUGAUGGGAUUGAACACUGGCUUGUGUGUUUUGAACCAUGUGAUGUAGCUCAGUCUGGUUUGUCAUUGCUGCGAUCAUUACCACAGAUUAAUAUCAGUGGCAAAUCCUGAUCUGGACAUCAGGUCAUACAGAAAUGCAUUGUCAUUAAACCCCUCAAUAUUUGCAUCACAAUGCUAAAAUAUUUUAUUAUAAUAAUGAUAAUAAUAGUAUGGCACUUACGUUAUAUAAUAGCCAAUGUCUGUUAUGCGUAUCUGGAAGAGUGCAUUGUUUGUGGGAUGUGAAAAAAGUAGUAAAUUAAUUUCUAGAUAUAGAUGUAAGUGAAUAAUUUACUCAUUUAAAGAUCUCCUAUUUCUUUAUACUGUACACUGCAUUUUAACAUGAGAAAGCAUACUUAUGGCUGUAAUGGAUGAUUUUAGUUCACUAUAGUAUAAUUAUUGCUGAUAUUUAAUAUGCAUGAUAACAGAAAUCUAUAACCAGAUAUUUAUAGCAUUUACUUUCCAUGUAAGGCAAGUUGACUCAGCAUGGUUUACUCAUUUACAUUUGAAAUUCAGGCUUAUAUUACCGUUUUUUCCAGUGUCUAAGACACACUUUUUUAUUGUUAAAAUAAGCCUCAAAAUUACUGUGCUUCUUAUUUGGCAAAGGUUGCCACUCUUGCCAGUGCACAUGCUCUCUGAAUCGGCCACAGUCGGUUAAUUUUGUUUCAUAUCCUUUUCUUGUAACUUCCCCCCCCGAAGAAGUAAUGUUUAAUUGUCAUCAUAAUUUUCGUAUGGUAACUAUUGUUACAGUUGAAUGAUCUGUUUUUGUAAGGUUAGAUAUAUCAGUUUGUUCGAUUUUUAGUUUUGUACCUUAAAAUUUUUUUGAUUUCGGAUGUGCAUCUUAUACACUGGAAAAUAUGGUGUGUUAAGCAGUUCAUGCUUUGGAUACUUUACAUUGUACUUAAAAUAAAUACUUCAUCCUAAAGAAUUAACUUGUUUUGUGCUCUUCAUGUGCACUUUGUUUAAUGGCGUGGGACUUUGACACCUAUACAGCUUCCCAUUAUUGCUGAAAUGUUUCAAGUUAAGACAGUUCUAAUCAUGUAAAGUCUUUAUUAUUGAAUAUAUUCAGAUGUUAAUUUUUAAUGGAUAUAAGGUAUGUCAUGGUUUUUCCACACUUUUUUAUGGAACUGUAAGGUUCGUUACUGUGUUCACAGACACUUGUAGAAGUGGUAAUAAUGUUUGAAGUGUCAACCAUCGACUUUGAACAAUGCUGCCUAACCACUCUUCUCAGUCUAGAUUUGAUUAUCUGAUCUCACUGAAUAUUUUCUAAUCUAGACAGGCUGUUUAUAUAAUUAGUUUUAUCAUCGUGCACACUUGGGGGCCUGCCGGUUUGUAAAUGGUUCUGAAAUAAUACACAGCUUUGAAUUGAACUGCUAAUACAACAGUUAACAGUCAACAGUCAGUUAACAGUGUCAAAACUUGAAUUUAAAUUGUGUAUAAUAUAUGUAUACAUAAUGUAAGUAUCUCUUGUAACAAGAAAUUAUUUGGGGAUUAGUGCGUAUUUCUGCUAUACCACUGAUGGAUCUUUCUCUAGUUUCUGUUUGAGACAAUUUUAAUUGAUGUGUAAAAAGCUAAUUUAUGUUGUUGAUAAUGACCUUCCCCCUGCUAUAUAACAAGAAAAUCCCUGUUUAUAUACAAGUAAUUGUGUAGGCAUACAUCUCUGUAAUUAACAGCAUGCAUGUGUUUCAAAUGACUGUAUUUAAUGGUGAACAUACUUUAGUGUCUGCCAAGAUUUUAUAUAUAUAAAGAUGGCUUUAGUUACACUUAAGAUUAAUUUGUAUUUAAUUUUGUAAUGGGUAUAAUUAACUAAGAUAGUGUAAGACAUGAAUGGGUUAUGUAUUUAGUUUUAAAUUCAAAUUUAUAUUUUAUAUCUAAUAAUUAAAUUGUUAUUGCUUUUUUAA
Molecule: non-coding RNA, 2631 nt
Organism: Zootermopsis nevadensis
Lineage: Eukaryota; Metazoa; Arthropoda; Insecta; Blattodea; Termopsidae
Source: RefSeq, a predicted model, not a curated record